RNAcentral lists this ribosomal RNA (215 nucleotides) under Leptoscelis quadrisignatus. RNAcentral describes it as "partial small subunit ribosomal RNA". The record is from RNAcentral. Lineage: Eukaryota; Metazoa; Arthropoda; Insecta; Hemiptera; Coreidae.
UAUCUUUAUAAAUUGAAUUUAGGUUGACUCUGCCUAUGUAAUUAAGAAUUGGUUAUUAAUGUAAUAUUAAAUAUAAAUUUUUGUGUGUUUUGUAUUUAUCUAAAUGGUAAAUAUUUUGUUUAAUUGUAGUUUUUAAUUUUGGUAUUUAUAUAAAUAUAAUUUCAGUUAAUUUUAUUAGAGUUGUUAAAAGUUGUGCCAGCAUACGCGGUUAUACA